GUUGUGAUGUAAGGGAUGUAGUACUGUUGCAGAGGGUGUGUGUUGUGAUGUAAGGGAUGUAGUACUGUUGCAGAGGGUGUGUGUUGUGAUGUAAGGGAUGUAGUACUGUUGCAGAAGGUGUGUGUUGUGUUGUUGUGAUGUAAGGGAUGGAGUACUGUUGCAGAGGGUGUGUGUUGUGAUGUAAGGGAUGUAGUACUGUUGCAGAGGGUGUGUGUUGUGUUGUAAGGGAUGUAGUACUGUUGCAGAGGGUGUGUGUUGUGUUGUAAGGGAUGCAGUACUGUUGCAGAGGGUGUGUGUUGUGUUGUUGUGAUGUAAGGGAUGGAGUACUGUUGCAGAGGGUGUGUGUUGUGAUGUAAGGGAUGUAGUACUGUUGCAGAGGGUGUGUGUUGUGUUGUAAGGGAUGUAGUACUGUUGCAGAGGGUGUGUGUUGUGAUGUAAGGGAUGUAGUACUGUUGCAGAGGGUGUGUGUUGUGUUGUAAGGGAUGCAGUACUGUUGCAGAGGGUGUGUGUUGUGUUGUUGUGAUGUAAGGGAUGGAGUACUGUUGCAGAGGGUGUGUGUUGUGAUGUAAGGGAUGUAGUACUGUUGCAGAAGGUGUGUGUUGUGUUGUUGUGAUGUAAGGGAUGGAGUACUGUUGCAGAGGGUGUGUGUUGUGAUGUAAGGGAUGUAGUACUGUUGCAGAGGGUGUGUGUUGUGUUGUUGUGAUGUAAGGGAUGGAGUACUGUUGCAGAGGGUGUGUGUUGUGAUGUAAGGGAUGUAGUACUGUUGCAGAGGGUGUGUGUUGUGUUUUAAGGGAUGUAGUACUGUUGCAGAGGGUGUGUGUUGUGUUGUAAGGGAUGUAGUACUGUUGCAGAGGGUGUGUGUUGUGAUGUAAGGGAUGUAGUACUGUUGCAGAGGGUGUGUGUUGUGUUGUAAGGGAUGCAGUACUGUUGCAGAGGGUGUGUGUUGUGUUGUAAGGGAUGCAGUACUGUUGCAGAGGGUGUGUGUUGUGUUGUAAGGGAUGUAGUACUGUUGCAGAGGGUGUGUGUUAGGUUGUUGUGAUGUAAGGGAUGUAGUACUGUUGCAGAGGGUGUGUGUUGUGAUGUAAGGGAUGUAGUACUGUUGCAGAGGGUGUGUGUUGUGAUGUAAGGGAUGUAGUACUGUUGCAGAGGGUGUGUGUUGUGGUGUAAGGGAUGUAGUACUGUUGCAGAGGGUGUGUGUUGUGUUGUAAGGGAUGCAGUACUGUUGCAGAGGGUGUGUGUUGUGUUGUAAGGGAUGUAGUACUGUUGCAGAGGGUGUGUGUUAGGUUGUUGGGAUGUAAGGGAUGGAGUACUGUUGCAGAGGGUGUGUGUUGUGAUGUAAGGGAUGUAGUACUGUUGCAAAGGGUGUGUGUUGUGUUGUAAGGGAUGUAGUACUGUUGCAGAGGAUGUGUGUUGUGUUGUAGUGAUAUGAGGGAUGUAGUACUGUUGCAGAGGGUGUGUGUUGUGUUGUAAGGGAUGCAGUACUGUUGCAGAGGGUGUGUGUUGUGAUGUAAGGGAUGUAGUACUGUUGCAGAGGGUGUGUGUUGUGUUGUAAGGGAUGUAGUACUGUUGCAGAGGGUGUGUGUUGUGUUGUAAGGGAUGUAGUACUGUUGCAGAGGGUGUGUGUUGUGUUGUAAGGGAUGUAGUACUGUUGCAGAGGGUGUGUGUUGUGUUGUAGUGAUAUGAGGGAUGUAGUACUGUUGCAGAGGGUGUGUGUUGUGUUGUAAGGGAUGCAGUACUGUUGCAGAGGGUGUGUGUUGUGAUGUAAGGGAUGUAGUACUGUUGCAGAGGGUGUGUGUUGUGUUGUAAGGGAUGCAGUACUGUUGCAGAGGGUGUGUGUUGUGAUGUAAGGGAUGUAGUACUGUUGCAGAGGGUGUGUGUUGUGUUGUAAGGGAUGCAGUACUGUUGCAGAGGGUGUGUGUUGUGUUGUAAGGGAUGUAGUACUGUUGCAGAGGGUGUGUGUUGUGUUGUAAGGGAUGCAGUACUGUUGCAGAGGGUGUGUGUUGUGUUGUAAGGGAUGUAGUACUGUUGCAGAGGG
This is a long non-coding RNA of Oncorhynchus keta (chum salmon), 2035 nucleotides long. RefSeq lists it as uncharacterized. The transcript has 9 exons. The record is from RefSeq and is a predicted model, not a curated record. NCBI's taxonomy places the organism in Eukaryota, Metazoa, Chordata, Actinopteri, Salmoniformes, Salmonidae.